CCUACGGGUGGCAGCAGCAGGGAAUAUUGCACAAUGGGCGAAAGCCUGAUGCAGCGACACCGCGUGCGGGAUGAAGGCCUUCGGGUUGUAAACCGCUUUCAGGAGGGACGAAAAUGACGGUACCUCCAGAAGAAGGCCCGGCUAACUACGUGCCAGCAGCCGCGGUAAUACGUAGGGGCCAAACGUUGUCCGGAUUUAUUGGGCGUAAAGGGCUCGUAGGCGGUUCAACAAGUCGGUCGUGAAAACCCGGGGCUCAACCCCGGGACGCCGGUCGAAACUGUUGUGACUAGGGUCCGGUAGAGGUGAGUGGAAUUCUCGGUGUAGCGGUGGAAUGCGCAGAUAUCGAGAGGAACACCAGUAGCGAAGGCGGCUCACUGGACCGGUACCGACGCUGAGGAGCGAAAGCAUGGGGAGCAAACAGGAUUAGAUACCCGAGUAGUC
Molecule: ribosomal RNA, 441 nt
Filed under: uncultured bacterium
Lineage: Bacteria
Description: bacterial SSU rRNA
Rfam family: Bacterial small subunit ribosomal RNA
Source: RNAcentral